CGGCUUGAACAGCGAGUGACCAACUCCGAAAGGGGUCUUCCGCAAGGACACUCGUAGAGGUGCUGCAUGGCUGUCGUCAGCUCGUGUCGUGAGAUGUUGGGUUAAGUCCCGCAACGAGCGCAACCCUUGUUUGCUGUUGCCAUCACGUUAUGGUGGGCACUCUGCAAAGACUGCCGGUGAUAAACCGGAGGAAGGUGGGGAUGACGUCAAGUCAGCAUGGCCUUUAUGUCUGGGGCUACACACGUGCUACAAUGGCCAAUACAAACCGUCGCGAUACCGUAAGGUGGAGCUAAUCGGAGAAAGUCGGUCUCAGUUCGGAUCGUAGGCUGCAACUCGCCUGCGUGAAGUUGGAAUCGCUAGUAAUCGCGGAUCAGCACGCCGCGGUGAAUACGUUCCCGGGCCUUGUACACACCGCCCGUCACAUCACGAAAGCCGGUUGUACUAGAAGUCGCCACACUAACCCGCAAGGGAGGGAGGCGCCUAAGGUAUGGUCGGUGAUUGGGGUGAAGUCGUAACAAGGUAGGCGUAGCGAG
This 533-nucleotide ribosomal RNA is filed under the name uncultured bacterium. RNAcentral's name for it is "bacterial SSU rRNA". It matches the Rfam family "Bacterial small subunit ribosomal RNA", at positions 977 to 1509 of the family's 1533-position model. The record is from RNAcentral.